Molecule: long non-coding RNA, 10634 nt
Organism: Bombus huntii
Lineage: Eukaryota; Metazoa; Arthropoda; Insecta; Hymenoptera; Apidae
Exons: 10
Source: RefSeq, a predicted model, not a curated record
AUAACAAUUCUCGAUUGAAAUGAUACGUUAAGGAGACUUGAGUUUCACGAAUAAUGCUUGAUAAUACGUCGAUAAAUCUGCGGAAAUAAACCAUUGCGACAAUUAUACGACUGUUACGAGACUAUUGUUCAUAACUAAUCUUCGUUAUAAUUGAUUUCUGAAAAUCCUUGGAAAAUUUUAUAUUUUUAUACUGUUAUUAACGACAAUUACUUACUAUUUAAAUGAUUAUAUAUGCUUCCUUUAUUUAGAUAGUACAAUACAGACUGAAGUAUAGCUAUAGCAUAAUAUAGUACCAACAAUAGCAAAUGAUACUUAUUAAAAAAUACUGAUAAGCACACUGAUUAAAAAAAUUUAGGUGACGAGAACAUUGACGACUGCACAAUGUCUUCGCAAUUAAAUUCCACUCAUUUAUGUCGCACGGUUUAAUUCACACCUAACCUUGAUUUGAAUCUCAUUUCAAUGCGCUUCUUAAUAGACUUAAUAGAUUCUAAGUGGAAAAGAGAAUGCACGAUCUCUUUGUUGAAGUAUGAGACAAAGGUAGCGAAAGAAUAGUGAUUGAGAACAAGAAAGUAUGCAAGCGUGAAGGCGAGGAAGAAAAGGACGUAUACGAGAAAAAGACAGUGAAAUGAAUAGAGGUUAAAGAACGCGUCGAGGAGAAUCGCGGAACAUCGACGUAGUUCUUGACAGUGGACAUAAACAUACCAGUUCGUAUUGUGAGUCAUAAACAUACACAUAUACAUACAUGUGUAUUUCACUGGUGAUCGUGUAUUCUAAUAUCACUUUAGUUAUUUUAUAAUUGAUAUUCUUGUCAUUUUACCAAUUAAUUAAAAAUAUUAGAAGUUGCACGAUCUAUGGUUACAUAAAAUUGAAUUAUUUAUCAAUUUUUAAGGAGUACUAUAGACGAUGACGUUGAUGGCGUUCCUCAACAACUGCUGAUGGGUCCUCCCAUUUAUAACUACUGUAAGCACACGUCUUGACGCUAUGUUUUUCAUCGGUGUUGUCACCCCAAAGAAUUUUACCGUCAUACAUAAAAGUUUUACGUGAUAUAAAUACGCCUUAGAGAAAAUUUCUUGUACACCGGAGUGCAUCGAUGAAUAUUUCAAAUACCAUAUUGACGUACUGCGCGCGCGCGCGCGCGCGAACGUUUCUUCCUCCCUUAUGCUCCCCAUAUCGAGUACUGAUAAUUCAUUAAUUUAUGAUAAGCUAGCCUCUCGCCUACAACCUGCAUCUCUCCCACCUCACCCCAUAAAUCAUUUUCGCCGCUGACAUUAAUUGCACGCCGCCCCUCGUUACUGGGAGAAAUGAGAUUUUUUUAAUUGGCAAAUUUUUCACCGUAGCUGACACUGUGACACCCUCUCUUGGGGUUAUCAUUUCUUUUUUCGUAUUGCGAUUACAUCACGCAAAAGGAUGUGUAUGUGUUUCAUACGAUAUAUAUGUAUUUUUUAUAUGAAAUAUUUUCCUUUUUUGCACCUAUGAUGACCAUGAUUUUUAUGGUUUAUUACUAAAUGUAAUAAAAAUACUGAGAUUAAAUAUUAAUGCAUUUUAAAUACAUAAGAUAAGAAAAGUCGAAGUGAAAGUAAAAUGACAGAAUGAAAACUGUAUGUGUCAAAUAUAAUUUUAAAGAUAUACAUAUACUUGUUUAAAUGAUCUGUAAACCAUUAGUUAUAUAAAAUAUAAAUUCAAAGCUCAAGAAAAAGAUACAAGACUACUAGUUCGAAAUUAAUAAUUCAUUAAUCCAAUUAAAAAUUUUAAUAAAGCUGAUGUAUUGUGAUAAACUUCACGUGCGAUAUAUUUAGUACGGAUACUUAAGGGUAUUAUCUUAUUUACGAAAUAAUCUUAAUCUCUUAAACAACUAACAAUACGAUAUCAUUAUGUGAGCAAAAAAUGUAAGAUAACGAAAGUUCUCGAGUUGUAUAGGAAAUCGCAACAUUCUCAUAAAACUAUUCGUCUCGUGUACAAUACUGUACUUAAUUUUACGAUCUUUUUUUCAAGUGGUUUAUUAGAUUCGGAAGCGCGUUGAAUCGCGGAAGGUUAAAGAAGGAUGCUGCCGCGGUGAGUUGUGUGAGCUCUAACUUGUCCGCGACAUGUUUGGACUGUGACCGUCACUUAAAGCUUAAACAUGUGGUGCACGUGUCUCCCUUACAAAGCACGCCGUGCCACCGUCCCGUGGUACAUUCCACCGAUUCGAAUCCCUAAUCUUCCCUCCGGCUAUUCAGAAGUUUCACAUACGUCAGGUACUUAAGGAGCUGGACAUUAGUGUAACGAUAUCGUAUUCUAUUUUUUUUUUACCCAACGAAGACGAUGUACACGACAGUGAUCGUGCUACUCACUUAUAUUUGAUGAGUAAAAAGAAAGAACAGAUUCUGUAAUAUUACCAAAAAAUUCCCUAUAUUCUAAAAAAAUGAUUAGAAAUGGAUAUUUUUCUCUAUUGACCAUCUGUUUGUAAUAUUUACAGCAUUAAAUUUUAAAGAAAAAAAAAAGUAUUUUUAGGCGGAAAUGGAGAGUUUUGUCGUUUAGAAAAAGUGAACAUUUUUAAAUACUGAUCUAGUAUUAAGAUAUCACUGAAAUUUAUCUCUCGUCGAGUAAUUAAGAAAGAUUAAUAGCCUGUGUAUGGAUAUCGACACGAUAGCUAAUAAUUAGCAGCUCACAGCUGACUAGAUUAAGUUCCUCGUAGACAAGUUUCCGUAAAUGUUCCAAAUGUCACGCGUUUGUACGGAAAUUUACAUAACUUUCGCUACCGCAAUCUGAAACGGCAAUUAGUUCCUUAUCAAAUAUUGCAUCAUACUUUUCUGGUUUUAAUUUUUAGUACCGUUCUAUAGCAUAUGCGAAUAAAACUUCUUAAGUUAUUUUUAAGUAUAUGAAACCUUGAUCUUUUCGUUUUAUUCAUAAAUUCGAAAUUUCAAAAUUAUUUAAACAAUGUUAUUGAAGUAUUCUAUAAUUUUCUUAAGUGAACGCGGUUGGACGACAUUAAGUUAACUAUAAAUCAGAAACGAUUAAACUAAAAUCCUUUAUUCAUGAGAAAGUGAUUUAAAACGUUUAUGCGAACGGGGUAACUGCUGAAAGCACCAGUUGAAAAUGUCAAGGGGCCUUCAAAUCUUCAAGAAAACGUUCUAUAUUAUUUUACACACUUUACGCGUGAAUCGUGAAUCGCCAGUGUAAGUGUAAGUGAAAAUUCGUUUUCCACCGAGGGGGUAUCGUUCGAGGGAGAGAAGACGUUGUUUGGUGUUCCAUGGUUGGAAGGGCCUUAACUCGAUAAGUCCUCACGGUACCUGAAGUGAGCUCAUAAUCGUGAACGAAGCGCGCAACCGCUUAUUACAAGCGAGGGCAUUGUAAAUUUGCAGGGAAGGAGGUUAGAAAGAGGCCGAAACGAGAGAAGGAUGGACGCACAGAGAGAUCCAGACUAUGCUUUUCGUCGGUCAUUGGUUUGUUCGUCCACCGAGCAGGCGGCGCCUCAAACGUCAAUUAUACGCAAAAGUUCGUCGACCCGACAUUGCCGAUCGUACAGAAACAUCCACCUAACCUUAACCUAACGACAAAUUGUCAGUAGUUUCCCUUGUGGGGAAAAGAUCAGUUAGAAACAAUUAAGUCGGUCUGUGCAGCAGCUUAAAUCAGAAACGACACUAAUACGUCUUCCGGGAACACCGAAAGGAGAUCCACGCACCGAUCCCUGCUGUUUCUCUCUCCCGGCUCGUUCUUCUUAUCCCUCGUAAUAAUAAUUACCAACACACCGCGGUGCAGGCACACCGAGAAACCAACGGCAGCAGCAACACGGAACGGACAGCUAUCUAAAAGGUUGGGCUGUAUAAAAAUGUGGCCACCUGAGAUGCCAGAAUAAAAUGUAAUGGAAACUGAAUCUAAUUGAAGGCUUAUAUGAAUUUCUCGGAAACUAAGACCGUACGGCGGCGAAUGGCAACAUAUGUCAAGGUCAUUAAAAUCGACGAGGCCGUUCAAUCAGCAAACCUGGGAAAAAGAAGUUUUGGGAAUCGUGGCGCGUAUAAAGCAUCGAAGGUGCUAACCGAUGCCCGAGCGCAGGUACACUCGUACGUCUUCGGGGACGGUGAGGAUCAGGGUCGUUAACACUGGUUCGCGGCGGGUACAUCGACGUCCGACGGGGGUCGGCACCUUCUUUUUUCGAUUCUACAUACGUACCGACGGAUAUACACAUUGAUUGCAUUUUUGCGUCCGUGCCGGGUAAUAAUGCUAAUUUGGCGCAAAUUAUCUUAGAACAAGGCUCGUUAAGUCAGACGUUGGUCGGAACGUGUGUCACGAAUUUGCAAAUGGCGUGAAGCUGACGAGACCAAAGAAGCGGCAACCGUGACUCGAAGUCACGGGCAAGAGAACGCGUGACAAUAAGUGCAUCGACUCUUUGAACGUGUCAGUCGAAAGUCGGAGCUCGCGAAGAGGAUCUGUCGUCACUUGGUUGGUAUAGUUGAUUUCUUCGACAAGAUGGAACAGACUGGCGAAAGAAAGAGGAAAACAGACUAUUCCGUGGACCGUGACGGCGCACAUACCGUCUUCGAUAUGGCAUAUACGAGGAAGAGUACUACCGAUGGCCUGGGAAUUUUCGUCGCGAGGAUCUCUAACGCGGAUCCGAUGUAUCUUCUCGAACGAAGAAGAUCGAAAGCGCGAAAACGAAGCAGAUAGACGGAAGAGCGAGACCGAGGAGACUGUUCGGAAGAAACAGAGAGAGAGAGAGAGAGAGAGAGAGAACAAGUAGAAAUUGCUGGAGGUUUGAAGAGGCGCGAGUAAUUUUGAUAAAACAAGUAGGGAGAUCGGUAGCUGAAACGAAGAAGGAAAAAACGAGGACGCUGUUGUACAUCGAUAAUGGUUCGAUGAUAGCAACGAACGUGUUAAGAGCGAAGAAGGCUUGGAUGGUGAGAGUCAAGAUUUUGUAGCUUUUCUACAACGCACGUGAAGGUAGAGAAAAAAAGGAUCGAAUAGGUAUGGACUACAUGUCUCAACGACACGCAGCAAAUUGCAAUGUUACAAAUUGUCCACCGAAUCUCUUUCGAUUGUAACAGCGCGGCAUAUCUUAGAAUUCGUUACAGUCAUGUCUGUCAAAUUUCGAGGCUCACCUCGAGUAGUCAGUCGAGCAUGAUAGUUUAUUGUUCCAGUAUACGAGUGUACGAACACUGAUAUAAACACAGGCCAAUUCUAUGGCGUGUAUGGUGUACAAUUCUGGUUUACGGUACGCUUGAACAUUCUCUGUGCAGAGCACAAUGCAUAUACGUUAUGUAUGUAUAUAAAAGAAGAAAAAGAAAGGGAGAGAGAUGCCUCGGAGGUGUUACGGCGUAACUCCGUCAUUAUCCUCGGCGGCCGUGAUCGUCCGGGGAAAAUUAUAUUCAGAUGAGAAGGAAAUCAAUUCCACGAUAGAAUCGGCGAGCCUUCGAUUAGAACCGAAGCUGGUGCGGGAAAUGCAACGGAAAGUGGAUUAAAUUCCAACGGAUGUUUCUUUUUCGAGUAUUACCGUCGAGAACAUUGCUUCCUCGGAGGCCAGAUCGUCUUCGACGUUUCCAGUCGCUUCUCACCCCGGUGUCGCUGGAUCGACCGACGAUGAGAGAGAAAGAGAAACUAUCACGGGACCGUGAAGGAAGAAAAAGGGGAUGGGAGAAGAACCAUAAAGCGUCGCAGGGCCCUGGUACUGCUUUUCGCUGCUACGGCUAACUACGCAGUCUAUAUAGAUCGAUAUAAUUAAUAGCUCCGGCAUGGAUCGGGUAACAUAUGGCUCGGGACACGUUCGAAGAACGGAGAAGGACAGAAAACUCGGGGACAGCAGAGUGGAGAGAGGAGAAAAGACUCGGGGCACAUCGAACUCUUGGACCGCGCUGCAUUCAAAGGGAUUAGAGGCGAAUAAACGAACACCGCGAGGUGUUCUCGUGCAAGCGAAAAAAAACGACAGCGGCAUGCUAAUUCCUACCUGGUGGCGUCCUCAAGGUCCAAGGAGGAGCCUACCAGUUGAACUCGUUCGCCUGUUCGUCACACUAUUUUCGGUGUGAGUUUAAUAUUGACCCGGCGAGAUUAGGUGCGAGCCAGGUUUGGAUUAAACGAAGCGACGGCUUUCUUGAUCAUUCGUGAAGAAGUUAAGGGUUUGGUUUCGUUUAACGUUUGGAGAAGUUGAGAGAAAAUUGAGGAUAUCUGUGAAGGGUGAGUUUCCUAUGCGAUUAGAUUGUUUUAAGGAGGAUAGCGAUGAGGAGGAAGAAGAAUUAGAAGAAGAAACGGUGACUUGGAUUGCGUAUUCCUUCUUUUAACAUAUGUCAUAGACGAUCAAAUUUUUAGGCAGAAUUUUAUUCCUAGUUAUCGGUGUUGUAUUUCUCUAAUUGUGAUUGCAAAUUUCUAGAUUUCGACGAUUUUAAUUUGUCAGAAACGAAGCACGUACAGAGAGCAACCGAAUGAGUAUCGAGGAAUCGAAUGAGUAUUGAUACUCAUGGAUAGAACCAACAAAAAAUAUACGACAGGGCAGAACAAAAAAUUCUUUCUGUUCCAAUUUCCAUCCCUCGCUAUUCGAUACGAUAAAUUCAAGCAGCGAUAGGGAUACCACAGUAAUAUCCAUUAAAAGUAACCUAAAUAGAACACACAACCAUAUAUAUAAGUGCACGCGUACUCUCUACAUUCUUAACAAUAAUUUAUCGAAGAAUAAAGCUUCCGUAAAGAACAUCACUUUGUAUUUCCGACCUAUUUUCCCCAUAAAUUCGUCCUUUCUCAAGUUGGUAGCAUCAAUUCAAAAAUACCCUGUAUAUCGCAUACGUAGAGUUUCCAUGUGAAUUGCCAUCGAUGGACAAAGAACGAAAGAAAGAUGCCAGUUCAACCCUCUAGUGGAGAUAUCAUUUGCAUUCCCUCGUCGACAAGGCCACGUGGCCAUACCGUGCACACGGCCUUUUUCGCACCCCGCGCUCGCGCGAGUAAACGGCGCGCGUUUUGCAUAAUUUCACGAAUCGCGCGUAUAAUCGUUCCCCGCCGGUACAAAACGCAGCGGCAUUUUGUGUCGUACUCGCGCGACCCUGGCCUCUUCUGUAUUAGCAUAAGCUUUUCGAAAUGACGCAGAAAGAGCGACACGUGACCCGUCACAAGCCGGAAGGACCAGGCCCUCGAAAACGAAAGGUUUCAGGCGUCAUGAAUUUCUGAACCAACUCCGUUCUUUUCUUCCUCGUCCCUCGAAUUACCUCCCCACUGUCGAUUGUCGAUGUAUCAAAAUUUUGUCGAGCUAUGAGACAUAUAGGAGGAAGCUGAAGAACGUUUUCUAAGGGACACGUGGCAGACAGAGAGAGAGAGAGAGAGAGGGAGAGUCGCCUUGAACUUUUACACGAGCACGAGCCACGCUAUUAUUAUGGUAGCAGACGAUACACCGAUGUAAAUGAAUUUUAUAUGUGGGUUCUGAAGGAAUCAGUUGGAGAUUUGAAAUAGGUUGUGUUGCAUUUGUAUGUUGAUGAAGUUGUUUGAGAUUCAGGAGAUCUAUGAAGUGGCUGAUGGGGUGGUACGUUGAUUUGAAUAUGCGGAUUUGUCUAUUGUCUGAUGAUUUUUAAAUAAUAGGUACUAAUGAGUACUAAUGAGUACUAAUAACAGGUAAUAAUGAGUACUUGUGUAGGUAAAUUUGUUAUGUUUCUUUCUUACGAAGCUUGUAAUGAAUUCGCGGCUAUAUGGUAUAUAAGCUUUUUACUAUAAGUAGGAUGAUUUAAGAAGGAAAUGAUUUAGUGAGAAGAUUUUUAUCUUUGUGAUUGUAAUAACACGCGAGCUUACAUCGAUAGUAACUACGUAAUUAUGGAUCGAAUAAUCAGAAAUAUUAUAACUCGAACUCUUUGCAAUAUGUUUUAUAGUAAUGCAGAUUUCAUAAUGUACAUAAUUUCAUAAUGAGUAGGAAAUAGACAUAAGUAUCUCAACAAGAUGUAACCAUCGAUCAAACUUACUCGCAAUUAAAAUGUUGGCCAAAGUUUUAAAUUUAACCUAGCUACGCGCGUAUAACUAUUCUUUUUUUAGCUGUAACUUUCACUAUUCACCUUCGCGAUAAUGAUUUAAUUGUCUCUCGCGUAUCCAUAUACGGUAGAGUAGUUGGAAGAAAAUGAAUACGUAUUGCUUUGCUAUCUGAUAAUUGAUAAUUUAUACCUAAGGAUUCACGAUGAAAUAGAAACUUCUUACAUAAUAAUUGGCGAAAUAGAUGUUAAAAUAAUCAAUCUACGAAAUGUACCACGCGUAUCAAUCAUCCUACAAGAGGAAUAAAAAGAAGCAGGGAUAUCAAGUGAUAAUUCCAGAGGACAUAAAGUGAGAGCUACCAAGAGUAAUCACCGGAUCGUUACCAGGCACAAUACUUUCAUGGAGCGAUUUAACGCGCGCGUUCUCGAACAAAGCCAUUAGAUUUCACAAGGAAUAUCGAAGUCUUUGUCGUGUAUAGUCGGUACAAAGGCCGCGAAAAAGGCGAAGCCAGGGUUCAAACGCACCGACGAUCGCUCGUCACCAAGGAAUCAAUUUUCCGAAUGAAUAUCCCAACCUUUUGUUCUCCUUCUUUUUUCUCUCUUUCCUCCUUUCCUUCCACGCGUCCGCUUCCAUUCAGAGCUUGAAUCGCGUCGUUUAGGGAAUUUCGUGGCGUCGCGUCGGUGGCAGUGAACGGGGCCGUCAACACCGUCCAUGACCACGUGUACAAUGGCCCUCUCUCGCAAUCAUCCACCUCCCUGCGUAUAGAUCGCCUCUAUUGUUACCUCGAAAGACGCGACGAAAAAGUGGCGCGACUAAUUACCUCGGCCGGCCCGAUCGACAAAACCUUGGAAAGUCGAGUGUAAAUCACGUAACAAUUACAAAGGCGUCGAGCCAACAUCGUUUCCAUUGCCAGUUCCCCGUGUUGUGUGUACAGUAACGUUGUUUUCUUAACUGUGAUUGAAAUCGAUCGACGUGGAUCGUAAAUAUUCUAAAUGGUUCGCUACUUGGGAAUUUGUUAAGACGACGAGUAGACUGUAGAUAUUCGAAUUGCUCGGUGAAAAUUUAAAAUCACGAUGUGUUUUUAUAGGAUUCGAUAUCUUUAAAGAAAUCGAAAACUUACGUACGAAAAUACUAGACUGUGGAUUUUUAUCCAUUUAUGAGAAGUUUGAGGGCGUAAAGAUGUAUAGAACACGCAUAAUACGCUCGUUCUUCGUUUUAAAAUUUUUUCUACGUGUCUCUGAUACUUUUGAAGAACAUGUUACGUACGUAUAUCUUUCGGAAAAAUAUUUCUCAACUUUCAAACGCGACAGACAUACUUAACUGUAUUUCUUUUACUAGAUUUUAAAUGAUAUAUAUUUAAAACGUAUAGCGUAAUUUCGAUAUUUAAGAAUUACUAUUACUGACAUAGUUCUCUCCAAACAUGAAUAUACUUCAUACGAUACGAAUCAGAACCUUCUACACAUAAAUCUACUAAUAACGAUAACUGUUAUUGUAGUUGUAACUUAAGACCUUAUUUAUUUUAUUACCAAACUGAUCGAUACGUUACACACCCGUGCCUUGUAAAAUUUUCCUAAUAAUAUCGAUCCAAUUAAAAAUUACUUGUUACCAUAUAACACGAAUAAUAAAAAUUCAAGUAGAAGCGAACGUAUCGAGUGAAUCUCCCGAUAACCAGACACUACAACUCCAAAUCUCAGUAUUCUUUCCCUGAAACAAAAUUCCAUGACCAAAUGGAAAUAUUCUGUAGGACGCGGUUUGACUGUCGAGCAUCUACGUCUCCGCAUUAGAAAUCCAGGCGCGAACGUGUAAUCUUACGGAGUACGGUUAACGCUUCCCUGUCGGUUCUAAUUCAUUGCUUGAACGCGAGUCGAUCGAGCAACCUCGGCCCACGAUAAACUCGCUUGUUUUCCAUGCCAGUACCAGCUUGGCUGGUCUCGACAAUGCCAUGUAUGUACUCGUAGAGCCGAGUCGUCGAAUCGUCCGUGUCACGGAAUGAACCCGGCUUAAUUACCUGGUGAUGCACGACUACCAGACGAACCACGUCGUAAUUCGCCUUAACAGCCGUGGUUUACGCAAAACUCGCGUGAUCGACCGGCCAUGGUACCUGGAAACACGCUUUCUUCCGUCUCGAGUGUCGCCUCCUCGAUUCACGCGGGUUAGGUAGUCGAUAUUUCACGCGUUCCUCUCGCCAGGAAUUUAAACGUUUAUUUGAAUACGAAGGCUUGAGAGAAGAACACGAUAUGUCAUAUUUUAUAUUUUUUACAGAGGAGCAGUUUUAAAAUUUAGUUUUCUCCGUCAAUUAAUUCCGCGUUACUACGAUUGUUCUUUUGUUCGAUUUUGGCAUAUUUUUCUAUCUUCUUCGUAAUUUUAUGUAAACCCACGUUCGUAAUUCCCACUUUUAUCGUUGUUUCCACUCAUUCGAUCUAUCAAAUCCUUAAAAUUUCUCAUACGGCGAUAAUUGAAGUCAUAAAAUCAAGAAACAUGAAUUUAUCGUGUUCUCCUGCUGUGACUUUCAUAUUUAUAUACUUAUCGUAAUCAAUUAACUUGUGUUACUCGUAGUAGGCUAAAGUAGGAUUAUUUUGAGUUCUGUUCGUUCACUUCGAAUCUUGUAAUUAACAUAUUCGGUUACGAGCAUCUUUGUAACGGUCUAUAAUCGAAAAUAGACUAUUUGAUUCGUGAUUUAUUCUUAGUGGCGUCUCUGCAAUUAAUUGAUAUCGUGUUGCGAGCAUAAU